ACGCUCGACACCUACGGGAGGCGGCAGUCGGGAAUAUUGCGCAAUGGAGGAAACUCUGACGCAGUGACGCCGCGUAUGGGAAGAAGGUUUUCGGAUUGUAAACCAUUUUAGACAAGGAAGAAACAAGACAGUACUUGUAGAAUAAGCUCCGGCUAACUACGCGCCAGCAGCCGCGGUAAUCUGAGCGGGCUGGCAAGGC
This 199-nucleotide ribosomal RNA is filed under the name uncultured bacterium. Its description in RNAcentral is "partial 16S ribosomal RNA". It matches the Rfam family "Bacterial small subunit ribosomal RNA", at positions 328 to 539 of the family's 1533-position model. The record is from RNAcentral.